Molecule: long non-coding RNA, 520 nt
Filed under: Sus scrofa (pig)
Lineage: Eukaryota; Metazoa; Chordata; Mammalia; Artiodactyla; Suidae
Description: lncRNA (ENSSSCG00055013815.1)
Source: RNAcentral
GAGGAGGAGCUGAGGGCUCAGGAAGCGCGAGCGUCACGUAGCCGCCAGAGCGCCCCUCCCCGCCCCCCCCAAUCCCGCGGGACCGGCGCUCCGCGAAGGGGAACCGGUGGCUGGGGGCCAGAUCCAAGCCUCCUCAUCUGUGACCCACGCCACAGCUCAUGGCAGCACUGGAUCCUUAACCCACUGAGCCAGGCCAGGGAUCAAACCUGCUUCCUCACAGAUACUAGGUGGUCUGGAGCUCUUUCUCAUCAUGGCGUCUUGGAGCAUGACAUUGCCACCUUCUCCAUCCACCAACAUCCAGAAGGAAUUCCCACUGUGGUGCUAGAUCGGUGGCAUCGUCGCAGGACCAGGACAUGAGCUGUGGUGUAGGUAACAGACAAGGCUCGGAUCUGGCGUUGCUGUGGCUGUGGCUGCAGCCCUGAUUCCACCCCUGGCCUGGGAACUUCCAUAUGCCCUGGGUAUGGCGCUAAUAAAAUAUAAAACCGGGGGGGUGCAUCUUUCCGGUUUUUGCUUUUCUUUU